CAUUUUAAAAUAAUAUAUUAAAAAAAUAAAAUGGAUGAUUCAGUUGAGAUACUAAAUAAACAUAAUUUUCUUUUGUUGAUAUAUUUCUGGUUGGACCCACGUAUGCAUUGCGAAAAGUGGUCAUAAAGUCAAAUAGUGGGCCCAUUCACACUCUCAAUAGAGAAUGAAAAUUGAAGAACACCAAAAUGGCGUUCUCUAAUUUUCUUUGUAAAGUUUAAAGAACAAAAAUUAUUUGUUUUUCAAUACUGUAGCGUUUUCUUAAAGAAUGAGCCCACCAAACAAAUUUUAUAUAGUUUCUUUUUCAAAAAACAGAAAAUAACAUAUAAAAAAUGUUACCAAACGCACCCUUAACUUCUAGGAGUUUCUGAUAUUCUCUUAAAUCAACAUAAAUUAACAUAGUUCCUUUAUUUUGGUAUUUUCAAAAGUCAAACGGAGUAUUUGAACGUUAAAUUUAUGCUACUGUGCUGCAUCAACAGUAAAAAAAAGUACAAAAUUUAUGAAAAUCUAUAAAUAUUGUUGUUUCUUUUUUAAUAUCAAUCGUAUGGGACAAUUUAUGGUAUAUAUUAUCAAUCUUCAAAAAGAAACAACAAUAUAUAAGUAAAUAAAUAAAAAUAUAUUAAUAAUGCUACAUUAAUAUAAAAAAAAGUUAGGUUACAAAAGUUUGAUAAAGACAUAAAAAGAUUAAAUAUCAAGUCGAUCAACUUAUUUUUUGUCAAAAUAUUUUCAUUUCUUUCAUUUUUUUUGUAUUAAACUUUGAUUGUAUUGUAUAUAAUACUACAAAAAUAAAAGCACAAUCAGUAAUUUCAAACUUCAUAUAUUUUUUCUUCUCUGGUGGUGAGUUCGAUGGGGGUAUCUUUUGACCAGCGGCGAGCGGCAGAUAUUCAAGACAGCUGCCACGUUGGAGCAGUUAUAACGUAGGUAGCCUCCAGAAUCGUCGGAUACACGUGGCUGAAUUUAAAAUAACUGUAAAAACCUACAUUCAAUGGUCCUAGAAACUGCUCUAUAUUGGUGAUGCUCCAUCAUUAUCGAACCCAAUAUUCAAUUAUUAUCCGAUAAAAUGCGUUGGACAUUUGAUUGAAGAAUGAUUUGUUCCCUGGGAUUUGAAAAAUUUCACCUACAGUCGCGACAUUGGAGGUCCUAUCGAAAUUCCAGCUACUUUUUAGAAUUGAUACCGGGCUAUAUAACAUAAGACAAAUCCUGACCCAAAUCAUCCUGUUGCCAUCUCUACUCAUUGAAUAAAAUUGCAUAUAAGGUGUGCUAUAUUUAGAGAGUCUUGCAUGUUAUCACUUCCAAAAUUGAUUUUUGGAUGGUUUUUGUUUUUUCACUUGACAGUUGAUGCAGCCUAAGAAAUUGAAGAAUUCACUGAAAUUUAUAAUAUUUAGAAAUAGUUUAAUUAAUUUGUAUUCUAUUUUAAUUUGAUUUUCUAUUUAGAGUUUUUUCGUUUAUUCAUUGCGUAUUUGAGUUAUACUCCUAAUUUAGGUAUAAAUCUUGUUAAAAUAAAUUUUCUACUCAAAUUAGGAUAAGUCUUAGAGAUCAUAAAUAAGUGUCUUUUGUAACUUUACAAGUAAGUCUUGAUUAUUUGUUAGAAUAAAUUAUAAAUUUAAGUUCAAUAAUAUUCUCAAUUUCUAAAGCUCCAUGUGAAUUUUUUAAUUUAAUUAGUUCUUGUUAUUCUGUGGAAUCAACGAAGCCUUAACUAGUGGCGAAGCUAGCAACAUAUUUUGGGGUGAGCUAUUAAUUUUUUUAUAAGUAUUAAUGAAGACAAAUUCAUAAAUUAUAGUUAAUUGUUUUUUUUUUCCAAAAAGCUAACCCGGGUUGUAGCUCGAGUUAGCCAACUCUUAGCUUCGCCACUGGCCUUAACUUCUAAGAAUUCCCGAUAUUCUCUUAAAUCAACGUGAAUUAACAUAGUUCUUUUAUUUUAGUAUUCUCAAGAGUCAAACGGAAUAUUUGAACGUUAAAUUUAUGCUACUGUGCUGCAUCAACAGUAAAAAAAAGUACAAAAUUUAUGAAAAUCUAUAAAUAUUGUUGUUUCUUUUUUAAUAUCAAUCGUAUGGGACAAUUUAUGGUAUAUAUUAUCAAUCUUCAAAAAG
This 2087-nucleotide long non-coding RNA is filed under the name Citrus x clementina. RNAcentral's name for it is "Citrus clementina (C. clementina) long non-coding RNA (CCLE_LNC000614)". Lineage: Eukaryota; Viridiplantae; Streptophyta; Magnoliopsida; Sapindales; Rutaceae. The record is from RNAcentral.